CGGACGGCGCAGGAUCUAAAACCGCGCUAGGCGCUGCUCUCCACGCUCGCUCGGUCCGCUCUUCUCUUACCCGUGGAUAUACUACCGGUGCUUUUUCGUGGGGGAAGAACUCGAAACACGCAUAUUCCCGUGGCUGGUGCCUUUGCCCGGCGGCCCGCGCGCAACAUAUACCUACACCAACCAACAACCUUCCACCUUCUGUCCGCCGGAGUUACGACGAGUGGCACACGCAGCAGUAGUUACGAUUUAGGGAGGAGGGUCGCCCGCCGUCUCGCGGACAGUUCUCUCUCUGGCGCGUCUCCUCUUCUCUCUCCUCUCUGCGUGACCGGUGUCGGUUCGUUCGUUCGUUCAGUAAUCGCCGCGAGGAGGAACGCGCUUCUUCUUCCGCGACUCCGGUACGAUCGCGCGCCCUUUCGCAUCCCGAGAUAUCAGUUUUCGACGCGGACGCCCGGUGUGUGCCCCCUGUUAUCCGUGGCCACGGUGAGAUCUAUCGGCGCGGGACCAAUCCCCGAGGAAUCGGUCGCGGCAACGUCGCCUCGCCGUCGCUCGACUUUACGCUCGUGUUCGGCGCGCUGUCGCGACGAUCAACGCGCUACUUUUUUCGGCCCAGCGAAAAGCUGCUCGUCCACCCCGGUACUCUGAUCGGUUUUGCGCGCGUCAACGGUGUUUCGCGCGUCGUCCGUCCAGGUGCUCCGUUUCGUUCCACUUAAAACUCGAAGGAUGCAAGCGUGUCUCGGUUUCGUCAGUGACAUACGUUCAGGUGUUUGUUAUCUGUGAAACAACAGUGCGAGUCAGCCGCGUUCACCGACGGCGAAACAGGAAGUCGAGUGGACACGGAGCCAACAAUCGUGUAACGUGGUGAUUUUUUUUCUCCGCGACGGUGGAGAUUCCGGUUUUCGGUGCAAGUUCUCGCGUAUCCGCGUUCGCGCGCUCCACCAAGAGGGUAGUUUUCGUCGGUUCGCGAGGGAAGAGACCACGCGCUGGACGAGAAGAGGUCAAGGAAUCGCGAGCAGGAUAAUGUCGCGUUACUGACGAGCCACAGGGACCUAGCCAACCUCUUUGGCCGUUUGGUCGGAACUUCCGGCGGUGUGACCGCGACGAUGAGGAAGCACGUGUGUCCGGCCGUAGCCGUGGUCCUGUUGCAACGUUCGAGCACGCGUGCCGAGCACUGCUGACGCUCGGUCGCUUCGAUUUCACGCCGUCACAGAGUCUCGUCACCGGUCGACUCGGAUCCGGGGAUCGUCGGGAAGCAUCCAUCCGACUCGAGCCACGUUUUCCCGGUCCUGUUACAACUUUAAACUCACACCGUCGGCUGCGACCGCCUGCAACCGCGAACCUUUACAAACUCGACCACCCCGAACUUUCGAUCGUCCGACGGCUCGGUACUUCGAUCGGUCUGUGUAACCUCCCGCUAUUCUACGAGUCUAUAGUGCGACGAACCGGGAUAUACGGGCUAAACCGAUCGCCGCGAUAAGGCGAAUCGACAAGUGAGGAAACCACUGUGAAAGCGGUGUGUGUGAAGUGUUCGAGGUUACUUGCUUAUACUGUGGGAAAAUACAGCCGCUACGGUGGCUCAGCACGCAGAGUUCCCCGGCGCGGCCAGGGCGUUCAUGGCACAGCCAAGGUAUGACGAUGGUGGGCUGCACGGGGGUUACCUCGAGGGCGGAGGCGGCGGUGGUGGCGCAGGGCUGUACGAUCCGCACGGGAGCGCCCGGGGCGUACCGGGGCUCCAUCACAGUCCACACCUCGGCGGUAUGGGGCCAGCACACCCCCAGUACCCACCGCCCCCGCCACAACCACCCCAACACGUACUCGCGGCCGCAGCCGCGGCUGCUGCUUCCGCGGUACCCGAUGUCCAUAAACGAGACAAGGACGCGAUUUAUGGACACCCCCUGUUCCCGCUUCUCGCGUUGAUCUUCGAGAAGUGCGAACUCGCGACGUGUACACCGCGGGAACCUGGUGUCGCGGGCGGUGACGUGUGCUCGUCAGAGAGCUUCAACGAGGACAUUGCUGUCUUCUCUAAACAGAUCAGACAAGAGAAACCUUACUACAUCGCGGACCCGGAGGUGGACUCGCUGAUGGUCCAGGCGAUCCAGGUCCUCCGGUUUCACCUCCUCGAGCUUGAAAAGGUGCACGAGUUGUGCGACAACUUUUGCCAUCGAUACAUCAGCUGCUUGAAGGGGAAGAUGCCGAUCGAUCUGGUGAUCGACGACAGAGAGAGCUCGAAACCGCCCGAAAUCGGGAACGGGUUGGACGGCGGUGGGCCAAGGAGCACCGCGGACAGCACCAGCCACACGGACGGAGCCAGCACGCCGGACGUCGUGAGUACCUCACCAUCGUCAACGUCUUACUAUCCGCACGACGCGAUCACCCCCCAUCACCACCAUCACCAUCACCACCACCAUCACCACCAGAGCCAGAAUAAUAAUAACAAUAAUAAUAAUCACGCCGGUAUCGGCAGUACCGCCACUACCACCCCCUUGCAACUGAGCCAAAACCAAAGCCAAAACCACCACCCUGCGCCGCAGUCGAACACCACCACUACUACUGCUAUUACCCCAAGUAGCGCCGCCACAACUCCCAACUCCCUAAAGCGUACGCACCAACAGAUGAUGAUGGCAGCCGCGGCGGCAUCCGCGAUGGCCACCUCGCCGCACGCAGCCGCAUCCGCGCCCCCAGCGCACGCGCACGCCGCCCUCGCCGCCUACCACAGCAUCAGCUCGGCCGUAUACCCGUGCUCGUAAUAGACCACGCGACUUCCGUGCCGAUACCGCGAGACCUUUCUUCUUUUUUCUUCUUAUCUACCACCCUCAACCCUUGCUCCUCUCUCGUCCACUUCGAUUCACCCUUCUUCCACUUGUCUGCUACCGUUACUUCUACUUCUUCUUCUUCUUACGAUCCUCUCGCGAGUCCGUGCGUUGGCCGACUGUUCGGUCAACCACCCUCGUGGCUCCUCUUGGUGAACCUCUCUCUUCGUUCGUCGUCCAGUCGGUUAGGAAGCCGCUCGUUUAUUGGUGUGUCUGUCUGUUUCUUCUGGAACGGGAUAAUCGGUAGGUGACUACUCCAGCCGCGUGUGAGGGCACACGUCCUCGCCGAUGACACGUGCUUCUUCGGGGGUUGGACGAUCGACGCGUCUUGUGGGCCGAAGUGUCUCUCUACGGGUUAGGCCGCGAAUUGUUGGACUGGCGCUACUUGUCGGCACUUCCAGUACGUUGAUGAUCAGUGUCUCGUACUGUUCCGAGCGGAGGACGAGUGUUACUUCGUUUGGCACUUGGCUGGCUUUUGAGAUCAUUCACGAACAGUUUCUUUUUCUCUGUCUCUCUUCUUUUUUGCUUCUCUCUACCAUUCUGUCACUGUUACUUUCUUCUUUUCACUGUCCGUUAAAACGUUGCUCAGCAGCCAAUUCACAUCGUAUGUACAUAAUUACACACGUUCAAACGUCACUCAUAUUCUACGUCGAGGUCUUCUCGUUCGAUCACGGAGCCGAUUCGCGCUCGAAGUUCCUCCUCGAAGGGAGAAGCGUUCGCCCGGCUCGGGCGAGCAGAGAGAAUCGGCUUGGUCAAUUACGUAAGACGGCGUCGUGUUAGCGAGGAAGAAUGCUUCUAAAUUCGUCUCGAGCCAGACACCGUCCGAUGACAUCGAUUUUCGUUCCGCUUUCGAUACACGUUCGCCAAUAUCCUCGCCCCUCCAAACGAGGAGACAGGCCGUCUUUUCGAGAACCCGAUCGGCUCGCGACGAGCUAUUAUAGUCGGCGAACGUCUUAUGCAAUUCAGCUUGGUCGUUCUUCGUGGUCGUUCGCUUCUCUUCGACAAAGGAAGCGGUGCACGUGGCCCGCUGGCCACGUGGCACACUCGCGCGAUCUUCUUCAUCUAUCUUCCCCCUCUGUUCCCUUCAAGGUCUGUUCUCGCGGUGCGGCACAGCGCGCGGAUUCGCGAACAAAACACGGGCAUUAAACGGCCGCGUCUCCGCAGGGCGACACGGGGUGCCGGAGGAGAGGUUGUCGGGCGAGGAAUACGCGGUCGAUAUCGCGAUAGAUCGAUGUAGGUCGUGGUCCGUUUAGGUUUCCGUUUUAGGAGUUUAUCGAAUUUGACUAUGCGUUUUUUACGAUCACCCCCUGUUCGGGGGGUCGUUUUACGAGGACACGAGGUCGUUUUACGACCCCAUCUUUUUCAUUAUACGGAAACUCCCUCGAAACGCGAAUUAUGAUCGGUAUCGCGCGAUAGGUAGGUCCGCGAUUUUCUAAAUAGUUUGUUGAUCGAGAGGAAAGAGGAAAAAUAGGUGGAAAGACGCGUUCGGGAGACACGCGGAUGAGGACGAACGAAAAGGACGAAGACGUGGUCGCGAGCGAUUCAUCGCCGGCGAACCGAGAAUUAUUAAUCGUGAUCAGGAUAUACGUAAUAGAUUGUAAGGCUUAUUACGCGUGACGAGAUGAACUUUUGUGUCUAUUUUUAAAAGCGGGUACUUGUUCGAGUUCUUCUAAUUUAAGAGCCGCGCCGGAGAGAGUGUGCGCGUGAAAAAGUGCGUGGAUCCACUGAUUAUCGUGAUAAUCGUUUAGCGAAGUUAGACGUACGAUCAUCUAGUUUUUAAUUUAUUAGUAGCUUCGAUUAACGGGCGAGCGCGAUUAACGAGAAAAGGACACGAAGGAGUUAGCUAACUAAAAGCGGAGCGACUAUCUUCACCCUGCUCGACAUACACCGAUAGAUCGAUUAUUAAAAACGGACAAUUUUCAACUGUUGUUUUCAAUUAUCCUGCGGCGAUCUAUCGGGCUGUAUCGAGCAGGGUUCAGCGUGAAACCGACGAAGCAGAGCGAGAUGCCCAGAAGCCGUACGCGAUCUAAAAAAGAAACCCCUAUCUUCACCACACUAGGUCUCGGUACUCGUAACUAGGGAGUUGUGUGAGGUACAAGUCCUGGCCGGCAGGGCGCGCGAGGUCCACCCCCAAUCCCCGUACUUAAUAACCCUUGAAAAUUCUGCUGAAAAAAAAAUGAAAGCUCGAUGAAAACGAAUGUGGAGGCAGGAGAGGAGGAGCCGAACACGAGCUCCCCAGCUGGUGCCCGGACCAUACAAGCCUCGAGCUCCUCGGAGCUCCUUGACCCUGGAACACAUUAGCAUUUCCUACACGCGAACCGAACAACACCGACACUCGCGUGUACAUAAGACGCACGAACAGACACACACACAUACUCGUGAAACGCAUAGCACGGGACUCUUACACGCGGACACGCGCGAGCGUUUCGACCGAGAUGCUUGGCGAGUGUCCGCUUGCGGACUACACGGUACACCGGUGUACGCACCAACACGCACAUAUGGCCACGUACACGUCGCACGAUACGGGACAGGGAUGAAACACGACGCGUAGAUCGCGAAGGGUCCACGGGGAACGAAUGUUGGCCCUGCACGAGACAGGUACGUAACACGGAAACAGGGUGAAGGGCAAAGGGCACCAGUCCAGAGGAUCGCCACGAGGCUCCUCCUUCCCGCUCGGCGGAUCGUAAGAUUCGCUUGGCCGACAUGGCGGCCAGAUUAGAAUCAGAGAACGAAUCGCUUAAGAAGGAGAAGGACAAGGGUGUACGGAGAUCGGAAGGUGGGCUUCGGCACCGGUCGGUCGGAACCCUAGUUACGAGUGCCGAACCUAGGGCCGAGAGACCUUGGAACUAGGCUCUCUCGGCUUUCGACCUUACCCCACAAUAUGGAAACGACACACGGUGGAGUGUCGAAGCAUCGAGAUACACGGAUAUGGAUGAGAUUCGGAGAACGUACCGCGUCUAUGCUAUAUAACAAAAUUAUAUCUUUAGUUUUAGAACUAGACUGUGAGUGUUUGUACAGAUAUUUUUCUAAGGUUCUUUGCAUUUGAUUUAUUUUAAUUCGAGUUGGUUUUUAUAAGUAUGAACAUCCGCAGCCUAGCGAUAGUUCGUUAAUUUGUAACAAGUUUGUAUUUGAUUUUGCAUUUCGUUAUUAACUCUCGGACGGAUUGAAUCAUUAUGUGGGCAAAAUAGAAAAUUAUUUCACAAUUUUGUUCAAGUUUGAAAAUUAGCUUCGUAACAGUGGCAUUUUAUUCCGAGAACUGAUGUGGAUUAUCGAAGACUUUCUUGUUGACUACUUCUCUAUUGUGUUUACGUGUCUGAAAUAUUGUAUAUAUAUGUUUUUGUGCAGAAUUUGUACAUAUUAAAAAUUGCAUAUGCAAAGUGCUGCCAUAGGUUCACGUCAGUUCUAGGAUUAACACAUGGUGCAGGGUCAUUUUAAUCCACAAUUAUAUACAAUUAGAAGACUGAAUUAUGUACAAUAUUUGAAAGAUAUUUUCUACUGCAUAUACACGUGAAAAUAGGUAAAUGUAUAUGUACACAUACGUAUACUGCUUGAAGAGUAAGGUAACAUGUGACAAGAUACACGUUCUUCACAUACACACGUUAGAAAUGUUUGCGUAAUAAAUUCAGUCAAACCUAAUAUUUCAACGAGUGUCAUUAAAAAUCAUGUCAUAACUUUGAGCAGUAUAUAUUGCAUUUAUAAAGUACGUAUGCAAAUUUGAUUUCAGUAGAUGGUUCAAUAUGAUCCUGCAUCCGAGGGUUAAUAAUGGAAUGGUGAUAAACGACGUGUGACAACGGUGUUAUAAAUCUGAUAUGAAUCGACAGUCGAUAAUUGGUAAAUUUGCUAAAUUGGCUAUAUAAGAAGAUAACGAUGUAGCGUGGACGCAGGUGUAAAGGCGACCACACGUUCUCCAGCGUAUAAUGUAACCGUUUUGUUUCUUCUUCUUCUUGUUCGUUCACCGCGCGAAUUGUACAUUUUUUACGUGUUUUUUGCGAUUGUUCCGUUCUUGUUUGUUGCGUUUGUCUUCCAUAAGGCGCGAGCACGAAUCGCCUUUUUACUUGUUACGUUUACGAGACUUAGCCGGGUUAGUUGUAUAUUAUUACGAUGACGUUGAUUACGAGACGAAACGCGCGACGCGUAUGCUUCCUUCUUUUCUUCAUUUUCUUCUCUCGUUCGACCGUUUCCGCGUUCUUCUCUCUCUCGACGAGUUCUCUUAAAGCAUGUACUUAAAACGCUCGACCGUCCGCCGAGAAAAUUCGCUUGAAUUACGCUUAUCGAGCCGCUGGAUGCGUAGCGGUGCAUCUUGUCGAGCGUGUUCGCGAGACGAAGCUAACGUGAAUAAAUAGUGCCAUAGGUGCAGAGCGUGCGCUCGAACUGUGUACUUAAUCGAUCAGUUGGUCGAUCGAUCAGAAGACGAGAACAAGGCGAUUCGUUGCGGAUCAUAUCGCGUUUUCAUUGAUGAUCGGUUUAAUCGGAACUAAUUCGGUUUGUUCUUUUUCUCCUGUAAAUCGCUUCUUGCGUCGUUGCACGACUCGAUCACGGUUAUGGAACGGUUCGAUACAUUUUUCAUUUUUCGAUCAUCAUGAUAUUUGUAACCGUGAUCGAAUCGGUUUGCGCUAAUGUUCGCGUGCUUUUGUUUUAUUAAUUCUUCGAUCGAUAUUUCUUCGGUGGAGUUGGUAGGACGCGUGUAAGGAUGCGUUUGGAUUGACGAGUGAUUCAAAUCGGUGUAAUUCAAUUCGAUGAAAUAUAAUUUUAUGAAAUUCAAUUCGGUGUGAAUUCGAUGUGAUUCGGUUUGGGGCGAUUCGAGUUAGUGAGAUUCAAUUUGACGGAAUUCAAUUCGAUGGGAUUCAAUUCCACGCAAUUCAAUUUGAUGGGAUUCAAUUCCACGCGAUUCAAUUCUGUGAGAUUCAAUUCCACGCAAUUCAAUUUUAUGUAAUUAAAUUCUACGCGAUUGAAUUCCACGAGAUUCAAUUCCACAAGAUUCAAUUCCACGCGUUUCAAUUCUACGCAUUUCAAUUCCUCGAGAUUCAAUUCUAUGAGAUUCAAUUCCACGAGAUUCAAUUCCACAAGAUUCAUUUCCAUAAGAUUCAAUUCUACGUGAUUCAACUCCACGCAAUUCAAUUUCACGCAUUUCAUUUCUGCCUAAUUCAAUUCUACUUAAUUCAAUUCCACUUGAUUCUAUUGCAUUUGAUUCAAUUCUACUUGAUUAAGUUUCACGCGAUUCAGUUCCAUGCAAUUCAAUACCACGCAACUGAAUUCCACGAGAUUCAAUUCUCUCUGAUUCAGUUCUACUUGAUUCACUUCUAUCUGAUUCAAUUUUACUUGAAUUGGUACCACAAGAAUCAAAUCUACUUGUUCAAUUCUACCUGAUUCAAUUCUACUUGAAUCAAUUUCACAAAAUGUAAAUCUACUAUAUUCAAUUCUGCCUGGCUCAAUUAUACUUGAAACAAUACCACACGACUCAAUUCUACUUUAAUCAAUUCCACAUGACUCAAUUCUACUUUAAUCAAUUCCACAAGAUUCAAUUCUACUUGAUUGCGUUCUACCUAAUACAAUUCUACUUUAAUCAAUUUUGUUUGAUUCAAUUCAACAAGAUUCAAAUCUGCCUGAUUCAAUUCUACUUGAAGUAGAAGAUUCAAAUCUACUUGAUUCAAUUCCACAAAAUUCAAACCUGCUUGAUUCAAUUCUACUUGAAUCAAUUCUAUUUGCUUCAAUUCCAGUUAAUUCGAUUCUACGUAGUUCAAUUCCAAUUUGGUUCAAUUUAUCACAUUUCAAUUCCACACCUUUCAAUUCCAUUCGAUUCAAUUCCACUCGUUACCCGCGAUUCAAUUCCACUGUACUCAUUUCGACAUUAUUUAAUUCACCAUAUUAAACGCUUGAACGCUCCAUUCGAAUGUCACGAAUCCCGCGUUCACUUAUCUAGCGUGCAUUAAUAAUUUGUUCGAUAAAAUCCGCAAAAAUUACCUCGAAUAUCUAAACGCAACCUAAGAUCCGUUCUACAAAAAUGUCGACUUUAAUUUUUCCCGUAGAAUUACGUUUGUCGCGGUUGUUAGAAAUAUUCAGCACGCGAAGCGAGAUGCAAGGAUCGAAGAAUACGUUUCGUCGGGGGUUUAUGAAUCACGUACGGACACUCCGGUACCAGAGACACGAAGAGAGAGACACGUACACGCAUUCACACACACGCACACACAUACACAGACGUACCUAUAUCGAGCGACAAACACGCACACGCUGUUUCAAUUAACCGAGGUGCAUAAUUAUAGACGCGCGCCGGGGGAGAAAGAGAGUUCUCGUACGCGUCGACGGACAGAUUUGUGCAUGUAUGUGUGUUUACGAUUACAACUUUUACUGUAGGCUUAAGAAACAAUUCGGAGAAAACGGAGAAGCGAAUGAAAACGACGGAGAUUAAAAAAAGAGGGCGACACACGAAUUAAAAGAAAAUGGUAAUAAGAAAAGGAAACACUCGACCGAACAUUGUAUACGACUAGCAUUACAUAGCGAUAAUAUAUUACCGAUAAUGAUACUUGUUUAAACUAUUGUCUCAAUCAACGUAUUUUCAUUAUAAAUAAAUGUUAGCCUUGUUGAGUUAAAAAAAAUGAGAAGAAUGAAAAGAUACGAACAAGAGAGAAUAAUAUUUCAUUGCCUCUGGUAAUUUCCAUGAGAAACACCGAUAUACCGACACGAGAUCUCCGCUCGAGAUAGAGCCUCUAGCU
RNAcentral lists this unclassified non-coding RNA (9517 nucleotides) under Megachile rotundata (alfalfa leafcutting bee). RNAcentral's name for it is "homeobox protein homothorax, transcript variant X4". Lineage: Eukaryota; Metazoa; Arthropoda; Insecta; Hymenoptera; Megachilidae. The record is from RNAcentral.